This 98-nucleotide ribosomal RNA is filed under the name Bacteroidota bacterium. RNAcentral describes it as "partial 16S ribosomal RNA". It matches the Rfam family "Bacterial small subunit ribosomal RNA", at positions 1 to 97 of the family's 1533-position model. The record is from RNAcentral. Lineage: Bacteria; Pseudomonadati; Bacteroidota.
ACAAUGGAGAGUUUGAUCCUGGCUCAGGAUGAACGCUAGCUACAGGCUUAACACAUGCAAGUCGAGGGGCAGCGCGGGGUAGCAAUACCCUGGCGGCG